AUCUACAGCCAUACCACCCUGAAUGUGCCCAAGCUCAUCUAGUCUAGAAAAGCUAAGCAGGGUCUGGCCUGUUCAGUACUUGGAUGGGAGAAAGGACAGAGAUUGUAUUAU
RNAcentral lists this ribosomal RNA (111 nucleotides) under Meriones unguiculatus (Mongolian gerbil). The record is from RNAcentral. Lineage: Eukaryota; Metazoa; Chordata; Mammalia; Rodentia; Muridae.